RNAcentral lists this ribosomal RNA (306 nucleotides) under uncultured Magnaporthe. RNAcentral describes it as "partial large subunit ribosomal RNA". It matches the Rfam family "Eukaryotic large subunit ribosomal RNA", at positions 40 to 350 of the family's 3401-position model. The record is from RNAcentral. Lineage: Eukaryota; Fungi; Ascomycota; Sordariomycetes; Magnaporthales; Magnaporthaceae.
AUAUCAAUAAGCGGAGGAAAAGAAACCAACAGGGAUUGCCUUAGUAACGGCGAGUGAAGCGGCAACAGCUCAAAUUUGAAAUCUGGCCUUCGGGUCCGAGUUGUAAUUUGCAGAGGAUGCUUUUGGUGCGACGCCUCCCAAGUUCCUGGAACGGGACGCCUUAGAGGGUGAGAGCCCCGUAGGGUUGGACGUCAAACCUCUGUAAAGCUCCUUCGACGAGUCGAGUAGUUUGGGAAUGCUGCUCUAAAUGGGAGGUAAAUUUCUCCUAAAGCUAAAUACUGGCCAGAGACCGAUAGCGCACAAGUA